This 253-nucleotide ribosomal RNA is filed under the name uncultured bacterium. RNAcentral's name for it is "partial 16S ribosomal RNA". It matches the Rfam family "Bacterial small subunit ribosomal RNA", at positions 524 to 776 of the family's 1533-position model. The record is from RNAcentral.
UACGUAGGGUGCGAGCGUUAAUCGGAAUUACUGGGCGUAAAGCGUGCGCAGGCGGUUUUGUAAGCCAGAUGUGAAAUCCCCGGGCUUAACCUGGGAAUUGCAUUUGUGACUGCACGGCUAGAGUGUGUCAGAGGGGGGUAGAAUUCCACGUGUAGCAGUGAAAUGCGUAGAGAUCGGGAGGAACACCAGAGGCGAAGGCGGCCACCUGGACAGGUACUGACACUCAACUGCGAAAGCGUGGGGAGCAAACAGG